RNAcentral lists this unclassified non-coding RNA (363 nucleotides) under uncultured bacterium. Its description in RNAcentral is "contains 16S-23S intergenic spacer region". The record is from RNAcentral.
UCCCCCGUGAGGGGGCAGUCUCGCCUGAAAUGUAUAACAGACAACGAGGGUUGCGUUCGUUACCCCACUGAAGGGAACAGCUCAAGCCACGAACUGACGACGACCAUGCAUCACCUGCCCAGCACCCUCGAAGGAUUCCUCCGUUUCUGGAGGCGUGCAGCUGGAUUUCUAGCCCGGGUAAGGUUCUUCGCUUGCCGACGAAUUAAGCCACAUGAUCCACCCCUUGUGCGAGUCCCCGUCUAUUCCUUUGAGUUUUAAGCUUGCGCUCGUACUACCCAGGCGGCUCGCUUACCGCGUUAGCUUAGUCUCACAGAGGGUCGAUACUCCGUAAAACGAGCGAGCAGCGUUUAGGGCUAGGACUAC